CGAAUGGGGAAACCCAGUGUGACUCGUCACACUAUCAUUAACUGAAUCCAUAGGUUAAUGAGGCGAACCGGGGGAACUGAAACAUCUAAGUACCCCGAGGAAAAGAAAUCAACCGAGAUUCCCCCAGUAGCGGCGAGCGAACGGGGAGGAGCCCAGAGCCUGAAUCAGCAUGUGUGUUAGUGGAAGCGUCUGGAAAGGCGCGCGAUACAGGGUGACAGCCCCGUACACAAAAGCGCAUGUGCUGUGAGCUCGAUGAGUAGGGCGGGACACGUGGUAUCCUGUCUGAAUAUGGGGGGACCAUCCUCCAAGGCUAAAUACUCCUGACUGACCGAUAGUGAACCAGUACCGUGAGGGAAAGGCGAAAAGAACCCCGGCGAGGGGAGUGAAAAAGAACCUGAAACCGUGUACGUACAAGCAGUGGGAGCACCCUUUGGGUGUGACUGCGUACCUUUUGUAUAAUGGGUCAGCGACUUAUAUUCUGUAGCAAGGUUAACCGAAUAGGGGAGCCGGAGGGAAACCGAGUCUUAAUUGGGCGUUAAGUUGCAGGGUAUAGACCCGAAACCCGGUGAUCUAGCCAUGGGCAGGUUGAAGGUUGGGUAACACUAACUGGAGGACCGAACCGACUAAUGUUGAAAAAUUAGCGGAUGACCUGUGGCUGGGGGUGAAAGGCCAAUCAAACCGGGAGAUAGCUGGUUCUCCCCGAAAGCUAUUUAGGUAGCGCCUCGUGAAUUCAUCUCCGGGGGUAGAGCACUGUUUCGGCUAGGGGGCCAUCCCGGCUUACCAACCCGAUGCAAACUGCGAAUACCGGAGAAUGUUAUCACGGGAGACACACGGCGGGUGCUAACGUCCGUCGUGAAGAGGGAAACAACCCAGACCGCCAGCUAAGGUCCCAAAGUCAUGGUUAAGUGGGAAACGAUGUGGGAAGGCCCAGACAGCCAGGAUGUUGGCUUAGAAGCAGCCAUCAUUUAAAGAAAGCGUAAUAGCUCACUGGUCGAGUCGGCCUGCGCGGAAGAUGUAACGGGGCUAAACCAUGCACCGAAGCUGCGGCAGCGACACUGUGUGUUGUUGGGUAGGGGAGCGUUCUGUAAGCCUGUGAAGGUGUGUCGUGAGGCAUGCUGGAGGUAUCAGAAGUGCGAAUGCUGACAUAAGUAACGAUAAAGCGGGUGAAAAGCCCGCUCGCCGGAAGACCAAGGGUUCCUGUCCAACGUUAAUCGGGGCAGGGUGAGUCGACCCCUAAGGCGAGGCCGAAAGGCGUAGUCGAUGGGAAACGGGUUAAUAUUCCCGUACUUGGUGUUACUGCGAAGGGGGGACGGAGAAGGCUAUGUUGGCCGGGCGACGGUUGUCCCGGUUUAAGCGUGUAGGUGUGUGUUCCAGGUAAAUCCGGUUCACUUUAACACUGAGGCGUGACGACGAGGCACUACGGUGCUGAAGCAACAAAUGCCCUGCUUCCAGGAAAAGCCUCUAAGCAUCAGGUAACAUCAAAUCGUACCCCAAACCGACACAGGUGGUCAGGUAGAGAAUACCAAGGCGCUUGAGAGAACUCGGGUGAAGGAACUAGGCAAAAUGGUGCCGUAACUUCGGGAGAAGGCACGCUGACACGUAGGUGAAGUGAUUUACUCAUGGAGCUGAAGUCAGUCGAAGAUACCAGCUGGCUGCAACUGUUUAUUAAAAACACAGCACUGUGCAAACACGAAAGUGGACGUAUACGGUGUGACGCCUGCCCGGUGCCGGAAGGUUAAUUGAUGGGGUCAGCGCAAGCGAAGCUCCUGAUCGAAGCCCCGGUAAACGGCGGCCGUAACUAUAACGGUCCUAAGGUAGCGAAAUUCCUUGUCGGGUAAGUUCCGACCUGCACGAAUGGCGUAAUGAUGGCCAGGCUGUCUCCACCCGAGACUCAGUGAAAUUGAACUCGCUGUGAAGAUGCAGUGUACCCGCGGCAAGACGGAAAGACCCCGUGAACCUUUACUAUAGCUUGACACUGAACAUUGAGCCUUGAUGUGUAGGAUAGGUGGGAGGCUUUGAAGUGUGGACGCCAGUCUGCAUGGAGCCGACCUUGAAAUACCACCCUUUAAUGUUUGAUGUUCUAACGUGGACCCGUUACCCGGGUUGCGGACAGUGUCUGGUGGGUAGUUUGACUGGGGCGGUCUCCUCCUAAAGAGUAACGGAGGAGCACGAAGGUUGGCUAAUCCUGGUCGGACAUCAGGAGGUUAGUGCAAUGGCAUAAGCCAGCUUGACUGCGAGCGUGACGGCGCGAGCAGGUGCGAAAGCAGGUCAUAGUGAUCCGGUGGUUCUGAAUGGAAGGGCCAUCGCUCAACGGAUAAAAGGUACUCCGGGGAUAACAGGCUGAUACCGCCCAAGAGUUCAUAUCGACGGCGGUGUUUGGCACCUCGAUGUCGGCUCAUCACAUCCUGGGGCUGAAGUAGGUCCCAAGGGUAUGGCUGUUCGCCAUUUAAAGUGGUACGCGAGCUGGGUUUAGAACGUCGUGAGACAGUUCGGUCCCUAUCUGCCGUGGGCGCUGGAGAACUGAGGGGGGCUGCUCCUAGUACGAGAGGACCGGAGUGGACGCAUCACUGGUGUUCGGGUUGUCAUGCCAAUGGCACUGCCCGGUAGCUAAAUGCGGAAGAGAUAAGUGCUGAAAGCAUCUAAGCACGAAACUUGCCCCGA
Molecule: ribosomal RNA, 2661 nt
Filed under: Salmonella enterica subsp. enterica serovar Enteritidis
Lineage: Bacteria; Pseudomonadati; Pseudomonadota; Gammaproteobacteria; Enterobacterales; Enterobacteriaceae
Description: partial 23S ribosomal RNA
Rfam family: Bacterial large subunit ribosomal RNA
Source: RNAcentral